Molecule: ribosomal RNA, 254 nt
Filed under: uncultured bacterium
Lineage: Bacteria
Description: partial small subunit ribosomal RNA
Rfam family: Bacterial small subunit ribosomal RNA
Source: RNAcentral
AGGACGAACGCUGGCGGCGUGCUUAACACAUGCAAGUCGAGCGGAAAGGCCCUUCGGGGUACUCGAGCGGCGAACGGGUGAGUAACACGUGAGUAAUCUGCCCCUAGCUCUGGGAUAGCUCCGGGAAACCGGGAUUAAUACCAGAUACAACCACUUUAGACAUCUCUUGUGGUGGAAAGAAUUUCGGCUAGGGAUGAACUCGCGGCCUAUCAGCUUGUUGGUGAGGUAACGCUCACCGAAGGCGACGACGGGUA